Molecule: transfer RNA, 59 nt
Filed under: Youtuus erythrus
Lineage: Eukaryota; Metazoa; Arthropoda; Insecta; Hemiptera; Caliscelidae
Description: tRNA-Arg
Source: RNAcentral
AGUAAAGAAGUAAAAUACAAUUAAUUUCGACCUAAAAUUAGAGAAAAUUCUCCAUACUC